ACUCACUGCUUGUUGCAACUGAGCAAAAUCCCAUUGUAGCUCCUAUCUCAAUAAGUGAGUGUCACCAUCAAGGUGUCAUUCACUAUAUGUUCGAUGGUGACCGGGAGCCGGACUACAGCUCUUCAGCCAUGGCCUCCGUGUUUUCUGGGUGAAGUGUUCAGCUGGGUGCUGCUCGUUCCCGAGCACCGAAGCAGUGACAAGGCGGAAUCUUCGCCAAAGAUAGGACCUAUACUGGGAUUUUUCUCAAUUGCAACAAAAAGUGAAUGUUUCAUUAUUAUUUAUUUAUUUAUUUUUGCUUUAAACCCACUAAGGUCCUAAGCUAAGCUAAGCUAAGCUAAUUGGUUACUGCCACAAUGGUGCUGCAUCUGCUAGUGAGCAUGGGUGGCCACGGAUGACGUGUGCUCACUCUUCUUCACUCCCAUUGAUAGUCGCUGCACCAAGUCGCUCCAAAUUUGCAUAAAGUUAAACUUUUGUCAACUUUGCCGCGUCGCUGGACAUGCCCACAUUUGGUCGCCAAUGGUCGCUGUCGCACAUGUCGCCGGAUCUCAUUGGAAAUGAACGGUCUCCAGUCGCAUUGUUGCUGUGAGUCACUCAAUGUGUGAACAUACUUUAAGGCUGACGCUGAUGGAGUCGUUACUGAACUGCAUCUUGAAGGUUUCAACCCAAUUCCAGCUACAGCAGAAAAGUUAGCACACAGUAUCAGAUGGAACUGCGGCCCUGUAUGAUGACCCCUGUAAAGCGAGUGGCUCUCAAAGCGUCGACCUGAAACCACUGUUUCUUGUCUUCAUGUAGUGCACACCAAGCUCCAUCAUAAAUGUCUCCAUCCUCAAUACCAGACUACACACACAAACCAGGAGACAUUAUUUAGUGAGAAAGUAUGCACAGGAGCUGUCUAUUCUGGAAUUUUCCUCCAGAAGAACACAGCAGAUCUGUGUUGACUUUGAUGCUUGGACCCCUAAAUAUAGUGGCAAGAAAAAUCGGCCACGGUGGGGUCCGAGACCACAGCGUUUAUAUGACGAGGCCUGCAACUGGGCAUCUUUAACUCUCAAACUCUCCAAACCCAGUGGAGGGCAGCCUGAGAAAACACACACACAUACACAUAGGAUGUGCUACAAACACGGCUUUAAUAUACAGAACAGGAAAUGGAAUGGAUGGAAAACAGACAGCGUGUUGAUGAAUGAUCGAGAGAAGAAUUGGAAAAAUGUGAACUCAUUGGGAGCCAGUGUUUGUUCAACAACUCAUGUAUUGCAGCAAUGAAGAACAGAAGCACAGAAAGGCAUCAACAAAAGAGACAGAGAGAGAAUGGAGACCAAUGGAGAUGGAUGAAAAAUAACCACAAAUGACCCAUCCAAAGGAGAAUAUGAGCUUCUGUGAUCCUUGGCAGAGAGGUGGAGAGGUUCGGCUUGAUCUUCUCCUCCAGAUCUUCGGUGCCGAAGUGGACCUUCGUGGGCUUUGGGCUGGUGGAGAAGAUCCUCGCAGGAGGUUUUGUAGGAGUGACUUUUCUCUCAUUGCUCCUUGUUCUGUGUCUGAUCAGCACAGUGGGUCCAGGCAGAGAUGCCAUUUGAUUUAUAGGAGUUGUAGGUGAUCUGUUAAUGCCACACAGAAUGAUUUCAGCUCCCGUGAGCAAACUUAAGCAACAUAACAUAAAUGACUGAUGCCAUGAUGAAACCAUGUCUGCACUGUUUGGCUUCCAGACCCAGAGUGCGAAACUUCUGCUAAUGUCACAGAAAACCACAUUUCUUGGAGUAGAGGGUCUGCAGAAUGCACAGUUAGUGAAAAAAAGUGAAAAAACAAACAAACCAUGCAUCACAUGCACAGUUAUUUCCUUUAAUGAGAAAUCCACUUGUGUGAGAAGAUUUUUCCAAGCCAUGUCAUUUAUCUUACAUCUACACAAAAAUGAUAUUUUUACCCUAUUAGUGUAACAAAUUUGUUUAUGUUUAUCUGUAACUUAACAUUCAACAUACAACCCAUCAACACUCAUACCACAUUAAUAUGAUAUAAUGUAAUAUAACAAACUGAAUACUAAAUAUUAUUAUUUAUUAUGCAUUUAAGCUUUAUUAAGUUAUGUGCCAUAUAUGUUAUACCAGAGGUUCUCAACCUUUUGUAACUAAAGUCCCCCCAAGCUUCCCCUAUCAUUCCGCCCCCCUAUCAUUUUAUAUAGAAUGAUUAUCCAUUCUAUAUAAAAUCUGUCUAUAUAACCUAUAUAUAACCUAUUCUAUAAUCUGUUUUUGAUAGAUAGAUAGAUAGAUAGAUAGAUAGAUAGAUUUUUUUUGCUUUUGUGUUUUUGUACUUUUUAAAUUAAUUUUUUAUCACUUUUAUGAUUUUUAAAAUAUUUCAAAAAUAUUUCUGAACACUAUAACUACUUUGAACAAGAGAACUAGGCUGUAAUAACGUGGAUUAUUUUACAUGUAAAACAUGUUGCAUUACAUUCGUCUUGCGUUCUAAAACCAUUCUCAUAAGAAUGAUGUAAAUUGGGACGAAGGGCGCGCCUCGUUAUCCAAGUCAUUGUUAAAUCUCCGACUCUCAGUCCUUCACUGUACAGAGCAGUCGCAGAGAAAGGUGAAAGUGCAGCGGGAAAGCAAGACCUCGCUUGCAGGACAGAACUGGACACAUUUGGAAAGUUGCUAAGGUUUGUCCAAAAAGUCGUUAGAUUUGUCACUAGGCGCUUUUUUUCUUUCUUUUUUUUUCUUUUCAAAAACGUCUCUAAAGGGAUCUGAAAAGUCGCUAAAUUUGCAACACUGGUCUGCACUGGCAGCUAGAUAAAAGGGAAGGGGAACGCGGGGUUUGUCAUUUAUGCACAUUCUAUUUGAAAAGCAAUAAAAUACGCAGAUUACCCAAAUUAUGCCCUGUCUGUGUUUUUUUCUUGAAAACAAUUUGUGCCCCUCUUCCGAUCUCGCCCCUGGUUGAG
Ictalurus furcatus (blue catfish) is the source of this 2908-nucleotide long non-coding RNA. RefSeq lists it as uncharacterized. Lineage: Eukaryota; Metazoa; Chordata; Actinopteri; Siluriformes; Ictaluridae. The record is from RefSeq and is a predicted model, not a curated record. The transcript has 7 exons.